AUCAAGAUGUUGUGCUGGCCUGUAGAAUUCAUAUGCGCAAGAUUUGUGAAUCAGUGAUGGAUUCCUUUGAAGGACCGAAUUAUAAGAUUCAGUUCGAGGACUGUUUGAAAGUUCUUCAGGAAUGUCAACAAGACGGCCGGAAGUUUGAUUACGUUAUCAACGACCUAAGCGAAUAUAUAAUCAACGCAGAAAAUACAAAGUUUGCCUAUGACUUUGAAACAACGUGCAUUAUUCUAGAGCUAUCCUUGAAGAUCCUCAGUCCGCACGGAAAAUACCUGU
Molecule: long non-coding RNA, 279 nt
Organism: Saccostrea cuccullata (small rock oyster)
Lineage: Eukaryota; Metazoa; Mollusca; Bivalvia; Ostreida; Ostreidae
Exons: 3
Source: RefSeq, a predicted model, not a curated record